This 72-nucleotide non-coding RNA is filed under the name Symbiodinium sp. Mp. Lineage: Eukaryota; Dinophyceae; Suessiales; Symbiodiniaceae. The record is from RNAcentral.
GGAUGGACUACGAAGUCCCGAACUGGGCCGAAAAGGAGCAGGCAAAAGCCAUCCGCGACUGGUCAGAAGUGG